UGUUACUGUUGAAACCGAAGUAGUUGCAGUUGCUGGAAAAGAAGCUAUGCUGCAAAGUGAGAAGAAUGUAAUUGAUGGGGUGAUGUGGUUUAGGAGCCCUGAUGAUGUGGGAGGAGAAGCUAUAGUGGGCUUAAGUUUAGCAGUUGUUGAGAGAAUGAAGUGGGAGCAAGAGAGGUUUGGGUGGAUUGGUGUUAAGGAGAGGCAAGUGAGGGUGAAGAGAGUGGAGGAAUUUGGAGGCAGGGGAGGUUGGAGGAGAUUUGGUUGCUAUGUUUUGGUUGAGAGAUUUGCAUUGAAGAGAAUGGAUGGAAGCUUGUUGCUGACCUAUGAUUUCAAGCAUACUCAACAUAUCAUGAGCAAAUGGGAGUAAGCUUAGAUUUUGUCUGUUUUGCCCUACAUAUAUAUAAAUGUAAAUUUAUCUUUAUAACUUAAAAAAUUCCAUAUAUAAGAUUGCAAAAUACAUCAUCUUUUAGUGCUUCAGGGAAC
This 483-nucleotide unclassified non-coding RNA is filed under the name Hevea brasiliensis (rubber tree). Lineage: Eukaryota; Viridiplantae; Streptophyta; Magnoliopsida; Malpighiales; Euphorbiaceae. The record is from RNAcentral.